GAAAGAAAGAAGAAGAAGAAGAAGAAGAAGACGAGGAGGACUGCCUUCUCAUAGGAUUGGACUUUGGCAACGGUUGUGAGAUUCGUCUCUACGAGACACCAGGAGGCUGAUGGACAACACCUCAGUUAUUUCAGUUAAUACUUUUGAUGUAAAUGUUGAUGAAAUAUGUAAGAUGUAAAUAUUACACUUAUGGGUUGUUACAAA
Long non-coding RNA from Macadamia integrifolia, 204 nucleotides. RefSeq lists it as uncharacterized. The transcript is spliced from 2 exons. The record is from RefSeq and is a predicted model, not a curated record. NCBI's taxonomy places the organism in Eukaryota, Viridiplantae, Streptophyta, Magnoliopsida, Proteales, Proteaceae.